CCUGCACUUCGAACCGGCUCCGUAUGGAGUGCUUGCCACGGUAACCCAUGGCUAGAAUGCAGGAUCGCA
Molecule: non-coding RNA, 69 nt
Filed under: unclassified sequences
Description: DUF3800-IX RNA
Rfam family: DUF3800-IX RNA
About the family: Actinobacteria, Firmicutes (1 example), Nitrospirae, Proteobacteria, Verrucomicrobia (1 example). Nearby to DUF3800
Source: Rfam by way of RNAcentral